This 1208-nucleotide long non-coding RNA is filed under the name Chlamydomonas reinhardtii. Its description in RNAcentral is "long non-coding RNA (CREI_LNC000163)". The record is from RNAcentral. Lineage: Eukaryota; Viridiplantae; Chlorophyta; Chlorophyceae; Chlamydomonadales; Chlamydomonadaceae.
UGAUGAGGCAUUUGCAGGGUUGGACUUCAUGCUGUCGCUGCAUCAGGGGCAGCAUGCUGAGAACAUGCGCGUGGUGAGGGGUUCAAGCCUGGUGACCGCGUACGAUUGUUGGAGGGCACGGAGCUGUUCGACAAGGAGGUGGCCACCUAUUCACAGGACAUUUUUACACCGUGACUCGGCAGAAGGGCUAUAGGUUCGCCAUGGAGGGCAAGCGACGCCUGCAUAGCCCGUCGGAAAUGCUGUUGGUUCGUAAAGUGACUACAGGGUAGCAGGCGGGGCGCCAGGCAGAGGCAGCACAGGAGCAGCGCCAGGUGCGGCGUGUUGCGCGUGCUCUUGCCACAACUCAGCAGCAGGCUACACGUGCUAUUGAAGCUCAAGAGGCACCACCAGCUGCGCCUGCAAACAAGCCUGCGGGCACGCGUGGCGAAACACACUUCGAAGUGUCGCGCUUCGAGGAUAGCAAAUAUGUAAAGGUCAAUCGUGCAUGUCUCCCAAUAUCCUAGUAUCGAAGACCCUGACCCCUGGGACCUCUCAUUCUUAACCUUCUCAGCAGACAUGGCGCACCUGGCAGCCGCGGGCUGCAGCCCCAGCUGAUCCCGCGCAUUGAAAUUCUACGCCACAGAGUUGUAUACGCGUUGGCGCCGCUGCAUGUUGCGUGCCUGGCUCAUACGCUACCAUAUGUAUCUGAGAUGCCUAUUCGGGGGUUGUGCAAGCUUCCGUGUGUGUCCUGACCCGAAUGCGCAUUUGUUUUGUCGCGUUGACACCACAUAUUGUUAUGAGACGCAGCCCAUCCUACUUAUGCAGGCUCCAGUAGGACAUUUCCGUUAUCCCGGCGACUUAGCACGAGGCCGACGUCUCACCGGCAGCAGUAGCGCCAAGCAGAGUGUUAAGAUCCGCCCGCGACCAGAUAAUGGCUCCAUCUAGUCUAUAUGAUUACAUGGAGGGUUCCUGGCGCGCCAGGCGCUCCAAAAAGGGAAAGGUUGCAGAAUUGCUCGGUGAAUUUCAAACGUCGGUCAAAGGCCAGUAAACUAGUCGCCCGGCGCGCCAGGGGUCUUCUAUGGGGUACUCCUUAUUGGUCUAUGCAAAGAAAUCGGGCCGGGGCCUGGUCGCAACUGGGAAAUGGGGGCGGUUGCCGACCGUUACCGAUCACAUGGGCCGAGUUGGCCACCCCGCACCCCUGGUUUUUGGUGAGAUUUAAAGGAUUUCCC